GAUUGUGGCUCAGUGGUAGAGUGCUUACCUAGCACGCGCGAGGCUCUGGGUUCCAUCCUCAGCACCA
Molecule: transfer RNA, 67 nt
Filed under: Marmota monax (woodchuck)
Lineage: Eukaryota; Metazoa; Chordata; Mammalia; Rodentia; Sciuridae
Description: tRNA.Ala
Source: RNAcentral